GAUGAAGAGCGCAGCGAAAUGCGAUAAGUAAUGUGAAUUGCAGAAUUCAGUGAAUCAUCGAAUCUUUGAACGCACAUUGCGCCCCCCAGUAUUCUGGCGGGCAUGCCUGUUCGAGCGUCAUUUCAACCAUCAAGCCCUGCUUGUGUUGGGGUCCUGCGGCUGCCCGCAGGCCCUGAAAACCAGUGGCGGGCUCGCUAGUCACACCGAGCGCAGUAGCACAUCUCGCUCAGGGCGUGCGGCGGGCUCCAGCCGUUAAAGCACCCACCUUUCGCAAGGUUGACCUCGGAUCAGGUAGGAAUACCCGCUGAACUUAAGCAUAUCAAUAAGCGGAGGA
This 334-nucleotide unclassified non-coding RNA is filed under the name soil metagenome. RNAcentral describes it as "partial contains 5.8S ribosomal RNA, internal transcribed spacer 2, and large subunit ribosomal RNA". The stretch from base 1 to 120 matches the Rfam family "5.8S ribosomal RNA", at positions 35 to 154 of the family's 154-position model. The record is from RNAcentral.